GAUGAACGCUAGCUACAGGCUUAACACAUGCAAGUCGAGGGGAAACGACAUCGAAAGCUUGCUUUUGAUGGGCGUCGACCGGCGCACGGGUGAGUAACGCGUAUCCAACCUGCCCAUCACUUGGGAAUAACCUUGCGAAAGUAAGACUAAUACCCAAUGACAUCCCACGAAGACAUCUGAAUGGGAUUAAAGAUUUAUCGGUGAUGGAUGGGGAUGCGUCUGAUUAGCUUGUUGGCGGGGUAACGGCCCACCAAGGCAACGAUCAGUAGGGGUUCUGAGAGUAAGGUCCCCCACAUGGGAACUGAGACACGGUCCAAACUCCUACGGGAGGCAGCAGUGAGGAAUAUUGGUCAAUGGGCGAGAGCCUGAACCAGCCAAGUAGCGUGCAGGAUGACGGCCCUAUGGGUUGUAAACUGCUUUUAGAAGGGAAUAAAGUGGGUCUCGUGAGACUUUUUGCAUGUACCUUAUGAAUAAGGACCGGCUAAUUCCGUG
This 492-nucleotide ribosomal RNA is filed under the name uncultured bacterium. RNAcentral describes it as "partial 16S ribosomal RNA". It matches the Rfam family "Bacterial small subunit ribosomal RNA", at positions 28 to 507 of the family's 1533-position model. The record is from RNAcentral.